Molecule: transfer RNA, 90 nt
Filed under: Dreissena polymorpha
Lineage: Eukaryota; Metazoa; Mollusca; Bivalvia; Myida; Dreissenidae
Rfam family: tRNA
About the family: Transfer RNA (tRNA) molecules are approximately 80 nucleotides in length.
Source: Rfam by way of RNAcentral
GCCGGAAUAGCUCAGUUGGGAGAGCGUUAGACUGAAGUUGGUUACGCAACAGUGAUCUAAAGGCCCCCGGUUCAAUCCCGGGUUCCGGUA